GGUUGUGGUUUGGUGGUAGAGCGCUUGCCUAGCAUGCAUGAGGCACUGGGUUCAAUCCCCAACGCCA
RNAcentral lists this transfer RNA (67 nucleotides) under Marmota monax (woodchuck). Its description in RNAcentral is "tRNA.Ala". The record is from RNAcentral. Lineage: Eukaryota; Metazoa; Chordata; Mammalia; Rodentia; Sciuridae.